CACGUAGGGUGCGAGCGUUGUCCGGAAUUAUUGGGCGUAAAGAGCUCGUAGGCGGUGUGUCGCGUCGGCCGUGAAAACCUGCAGCUUAACUGUGGGCUUGCGGUCGAUACGGGCAUCACUGGAGUUCGGCAGGGGAGACUGGAAUUCCUGGUGUAGCGGUGAAAUGCGCAGAUAUCAGGAGGAACACCGGUGGCGAAGGCGGUUCUCUGGGCCUUACCUGACGCUGAGGCACGAAGGCCAGGGGAGCAAACGGG
RNAcentral lists this ribosomal RNA (254 nucleotides) under uncultured bacterium. Its description in RNAcentral is "partial 16S ribosomal RNA". It matches the Rfam family "Bacterial small subunit ribosomal RNA", at positions 524 to 776 of the family's 1533-position model. The record is from RNAcentral.